ACGAAUGUUGAAGCUGACACAGUGAUAUAAUCAUGGUGCAGCAGCAAAGAUUUGUUUGGGUUAACUUUUUUGCAGUCUCCUUACUGGUAGUGGAAGAGGCUGCACUGGUGGCACUAGAGACUGGAGUCGCCUGUUUAUCCAAAUUGCACAUCGGUAACUGUAGAAUCUCUCCCCACACUGUCCCACCAAUGUGCCUUCACUAUCACUUGCAGGAACAACUUCUGGAAACAAGAGGGGUGUUCCUGUUUUCCUGCUCAUGCAAUUGUUAGUCUCCUUGCUCAGGCUGCUAGCAAGGGUUACAGUCUCAACUGUGGUGGUCUUGUGAUGUGGCAGCAACCCUAGGAACUGGACUAAGCCACCAAACUCAUUUCAGAUCAGUAUCAGAUGGUAACGGACAGUAAAUACCUCCCUAAACCACAUAGAAAGUUGUGAGGUAGCAGUAAAAGACUUCCCAUUACCAGUCCCUUGCACCAUCCGGACCCAAGAUGUACCAAAGACUUGUGCAUAACAUUCUUAACUGACUUAAAUUUCUUUCUUUAAAGUUCAGUCUGAACCAUUCUUUUAGAGUUGGCUAUUGAAGCUCACCCAAGACCCAACCACAAAUGAAAGCUAGUGGACGGGAGGUUUGAAAAAAACAAACCAGUCUCGAAGCAAAGGAAAGCAAGGACUAUAUUUAAAGUUUAGUUCAGUUUGUGGCAUAGUCAGAUGUCUCCUGCUCCCAGGCAGCCAUGUUCAGAAUUGUUAAAGAAAGGCAGCACCCUCCUAGCUGCUAUGUACAUGUACCCUUGAGAGUAGUUCUAAAGCUGGGUGUCAACUACAUAUCUCAUAUCUACAUGUCUCCCUGAGUGGUCUCACAUCUACUAUACACUGAUUUAGUGAGAUGAUGGGACUAAGUCCUGAGAGAGAGUCCUUGGGAGGGUUCUUACCCCUGGUCUACACCGGGGGAAAUGGGAGAGGAUUGAUCUAAGUUAUGCAAUUUCAGCUACGUGAAUAACGUAGCUGAAGUCGACGUACUUAGAUCUACUUACCGCGGUGUCUUCACUGCGUUAAGUCGACAGCUGACGCUCUCCCGACGACUCCGCCUGUGCCUCUUGCCCUGGCGGAAUACCGGAGUCGACAGGAGAGCGCUCAGUGGUCGAUUUAUCGCAUCUAGACUAGACACGAUAAAUCGACCCCCACUGGAUCGAUCACUGCCCGUCGAUCCAGCAGGUAACAUAGACAAGCCCUUAGUAAGGAGCAGCAGCUGUCCUUCAAACUCUGAGAUCUGUGUGAGAGAAAGAGUUAGUGAUGCUAGUGUAACCCACUGCUCCAUGUGUGUUUAUGCAUCCCUCUCUCUACCUGAUCCACAAGGGAUAUGCAUCUCUUGCAGUCUCCACCUGUGGAGCCUGGCACAUUAGUUUAGUUUAAGCUGUAUUGACUUACAUUUUCAGUUCUGGAGGUUCUCUAGUCCAAUUCCUAGUUUGUGUUAGCUAGGCAUGGAAUAAUUUCUGUAUUUCCAAUGUCUGUAUGUGGAGAUGCUGAGAUGCUGACAGUCUUCAUUAAGAUGAAAAUGAGGUAGGAGCUGACCAUGCAGGAAAGCCUAAGAGGAGGAAAGGAUACAGCAGAGGACAAUACAAUAACAUGGUCUCUGGAGAGGCAAAUGCAAUGUUGAGAGAGUAUCAAAGCAGUGGUGAAUGUUUACAAUAUAUUGUAUUUCUUGCUUUUUUCACUGUGUGAAAGAUUGUGGUUUAUAAUUCUCCUGGAAGAUGUAAGAUUAGAAAACAGACAUGGAGGAAAAGGAGGUGGCAUGGUACACAGGGUCAGGAAGGGGAUUCUAGGGAUAUGGGCCAGCAUGAAAGCAGGCACAGAGUUGAGCGUGGGCAAAGGACAUGAAGGGGUUGUAGUAAAGUGAUCAUGACAGGGUGAACUGGGUUAUCCAGAGUAUUAUGGGAUGGAGCCAUGCUCCACCCCAAGUUCGCGUUCUGUGAGAGUUUUCCCCCCAGUCUGUGAUGCAGAUCAUGCGAUUGAAUAAAGCGCCACGUUCCCAGCCGGCUUUUCUGGGAGUAGAUCGUUUGUUUUAGUUCACCUGAGUGGUCCCUUUACGAAACGGGUCAUCCACACAGGCAGCUUGCUCUAAGCAAACCCCUCCAGCAUCCGCUCCAGCUCAUUCCUGUGCUUCAGCAGAAUCUCGUCAUCAACAGCAUGCGAGUGCUGCCAGGAGGAGUAACAGUGCCAGCCUGGAUGGUUGUAACCUUGAGAAGUUAGUUGUCUGUGAGAUCUAUGGCUGAAGUGGAUUGAGGAAGGGUCUCCUGUCCUUUAGUCCUGUUGAAUACCCUUUAAAAUGAGUGACAACAGAUCUUUGCUAGAUGAGCAGGUUAGCUGGCUGUUCCUGAUUUUUUAAAAAAGAAUUUGCUUCAACCUGACUAAAGCCUUUCUGUGCAUCAAUGACACAUUUAUAGGUUAAUGUUUAAAUUGCCAUAAUUAGGCUUCUGUGCUGACACCCUAUUGAGAUGGAUGGGAGCAGUUCACACUGCAGUGCUGUUGUUUUAGGGCUUGAUUACACUAGAGUGUCUUAUUUUGAGUUAUCUGAUUAGCAAUUGAGCCUCCAGGUGGUUAACAGGUUUCUAAAGGCUGGUCUGGAUACUCCUCCCCCGCCCCCUUAAAAAAAAAGAAAAUCAAAACCCCAAAACUUAAUUUUGUUUCAAGGAUGCUGAUGUUUUGUGUUUAUCUUUGGCUUCUCUGCCAAAAAUAAAAUGUUUACAGCUAACUCACUGGAAAAUCCUAGUGGAGACCAGGAACUGUCAGUUUUCCUCAGUAUAGCUAGUCUAGUUCAAUCCCAUCUGUGUGGUAUAGUGCUGACCUUGACCAGGUACAUCAAAGUAAAAGCUAUCUGUUUUACUUCCCAAUAACAAGCUUGAUGUUAAAACACACAUUGUGUUUUUGUUUUCAGUGAUGAUAAAGCCUUGGGUUGUCAGUUAACUUGAAAUAAAAACUUCAGUGUAGAAAAGCCUUCAGGUAUCAAUGCAUCUGUUUCCAUUCCACCGCUUAUCCUCACAACCAGAAAGGUCAGACGUGUUCUUUUUUAAUGAAAGUUUAAAUUGCGUGGUAAGGAGGAGGAAUGCUAAAGAUCUGCAAAAGAACCGAGGGGCUCAGAGAGGAUGCAAAUUCCACAUGUGGAUUUCUGGUGGCUCUGCUUAUUAAAAUCUUGCCCAGAUUCAGCAUUGUACUGGGGGGGAAGUCUUCAAAUAUAGCAGUUCAUCGAUGUACAUAAACCAGAUAGAGUUCCAGCUGCUACAUAAUAUGGUGUGUUCUUGAGCAGAAAGUGCCACCACUUGAAUACAUAAUGCAUAGUAAAGUGGCAGACAUAAAAUAAUAAAUCAUAACACUGGUGCUGCAAAACCAGAGCAUUGUUUUCUGAACCUGUAUCUCUUUGUAAAUGUUACCAAGGAUGUUAAUACUGAUAAAAACCAAACCAUUCUGAAGGGUUGGUUCGUACACAUUUUUUAUUCUAUAUUAAGUAAAUCAAUUGAGGAACUGAUGUAGUUCAUGUCAAUGCACUUUUAGCAGUAUAAAUGUGAUUUAUAUCGGUAUAUGUUAAUUUAUAUCAAUAUAAGCACCUUUAUAAUGGUAUAUUUAUUUUAAAGGAACACUAGCAGGUUAAUAUAUAGUGUCCUUGCCUGUGUUCCUAACAACACCUACAGUUUAUUUAAACUCAAAGAAUUUUGAAAAAAUCUAAAUUGCUUAUCACCAUUUGUAUUGUUUGUUUGCAUUUAAUUCAGUUUAGACAUUGCAAAUCAUCUUGACCGUUUCAUUUCAUGUCUGUUUUAAGUUUCACUUUCUGAUUCUCCUAUGGUAACAACGCAGAGUGGUUGGAUUGCAGACACCUCGGGGAUGUUUCAAUUCAAACAAACCAUGUUUACAUUUAAAACAAAACUAGGUUAGAUUUAAAAAAAAAAAAGAGGGAAAAAAAGAAAAACAAACCUAUAUUUACAUUUUUGCUCUAAACUACCAGACAGUGUCACCUUUUGAAAACAUUCUGCUGUCAGUUACAGGUUGGUACACUGUAUGCUUGUGUAUAGAUAUGAAACUACUAUCAUCUGUGUUACAAGGACACUACUAAAUUACAGGCAGCUGGCUACAAAUGGCUUAACGUUCAGAAGAGCUAAGCACCCACAAAUCACGUGGAAGUCAAGUGGAGCUAUAGUAUGGUUGAGUGGAGAGGGUCCUGGAGGGAUGUGGGAGACCUGGGCUCUGCCACUGCCCUGCUGGGAGACCUUGGGAGCCUGAACUGGAUGUGAUUUGGCUGGAGGACUGAGCCACAGAAGCCCUGGUGAGAGGCAGAUGGACAUUAGGAGGCACCAGAGAUGAGAACACCUAGCAGCGUCUCACCCUGACACAAGGCGGUGCUAUGGAUGAUCCGUUUGUAUUUUCUCUGAUGCUGUGCCUCACGCAUGGAAAACCCUCCCUAAUCUGAAAGGUACUACUGCCUUAUUCCCCUCAAGAUCCACUGCCUCUAUGAUGACUACAAGAAAUCACCAAGCAGUUGGCAAGAUUGAACCACAGUUGGAGAAAUUGAUCUUUAGUAUUGCCAAGUCUUGUGGCUUAUUGGUGUUGUUUCUUGAUGUCCCAGCUCCUCGAGUCAUCACUUAUUUUCAACAAAAGCCUGUUUACAAUAAGUCUAAAUCAGAAGAUGGUUGCUUCCGGGAAGGAACAUGCUGAAGAGGCAAAAUUUUGUCAUUUUGGUCUCAUAAAUGGCCAAACAGGCACCAACAGUGUCCUAGAAAAAGAGAUGAGAAUUUGCCCCACAGAUACAGAUACAGACAGACAUCAUCUUCCUUUCCAAAUGCAAAUAGAUGGACAUCAUACCAAAAGGACUGAAGGUAAAAAAUCCAUUACAAUCUACAUACCACACAGACUAUGCUGACUGCUUAUGCCACAAACUCUCAAAGCAACUGCGGAACCACCUGAUCAACAUCCUCCACAGAAAACAGGGAAAGAUUAAGAAUGAGCUCUCAAAACU
Molecule: long non-coding RNA, 4999 nt
Organism: Dermochelys coriacea (leatherback sea turtle)
Lineage: Eukaryota; Metazoa; Chordata; Testudines; Dermochelyidae
Exons: 7
Source: RefSeq, a predicted model, not a curated record